Molecule: small RNA, 289 nt
Filed under: Paenirhodobacter enshiensis
Lineage: Bacteria; Pseudomonadati; Pseudomonadota; Alphaproteobacteria; Rhodobacterales
Description: Rhodobacter sp. DW2-9 5' ureB small RNA
Rfam family: 5' ureB small RNA
Source: Rfam by way of RNAcentral
AAUCCUCGACCUGCUGCGGCGCGAUGAAAUGGAUAUGCGCAUCCAUGCCGCCCGCGGUCAGGAUCUUGCCUUCGCCGGCGAUGAUCUCGGUUCCCGGGCCGAUGACGAUGGUCACGGCGGGCUGGGUGUCGGGGUUGCCGGCCUUGCCGAUGGCGGCGAUGCGGCCGUCGCGCAGACCGACGUCGGCCUUGCAGAUGCCGCUCCAGUCGACGAUCAGCGCAUUGGUGAUGACGGUAUCCAUCGCGCCACCCGCGCGCGAGACCUGCGACUGGCCCAUGCCGUCGCGGAU